Molecule: ribosomal RNA, 468 nt
Filed under: uncultured bacterium
Lineage: Bacteria
Description: partial 16S ribosomal RNA
Rfam family: Bacterial small subunit ribosomal RNA
Source: RNAcentral
GACGAACGCUGGCGGCGUGCUUAACACAUGCAAGUCGAACGGAAAGGCCCUGCUUUUGUGGGGUGCUCGAGUGGCGAACGGGUGAGUAACACGUGAGUAACCUGCCCUUGACUGUGGGAUAACUUCAGGAAACUGGGGCUAAUACCGGAUAGGAGCUCCUGCUGCAUGGUGGGGGUUGGAAAGUUUCGGCGGUUGGGGAUGGACUCGCGGCUUAUCAGCUUGUUGGUGGGGUAGUGGCUUACCAAGGCUUUGACGGGUAGCCGGCCUGAGAGGGUGACCGGCCACCUUGGGACUGAGAUACGGCCCAGACUCCUACGGGAGGCAGCAGUGGGGAAUAUUGCACAAUGGGCGGAAGCCUGAUGCAGCAACGCCGCGUGCGGGAUGACGGCCUUCGGGUUGUAAACCGCUUUCGCCUGUGACGAAGCGUGAGUGACGGUAAUGGGUAAAGAAGCACCGGCUAACUACGUG